This is a long non-coding RNA of Hyla sarda, 667 nucleotides long. RefSeq lists it as uncharacterized. The transcript is spliced from 3 exons. The record is from RefSeq and is a predicted model, not a curated record. NCBI's taxonomy places the organism in Eukaryota, Metazoa, Chordata, Amphibia, Anura, Hylidae.
UGGACCCCGGGCAGCCAUCUUUCUUUCAUCCAGAAGUACUCUCGGCUGGACAACGCAUUUCGAGAGGGGAUUUAUCACAUAUUAACUGCCUGCGUCUACUUCUUCAACCUCCCGGUGCAGCGCCGCUCCCGCAAGUCAGAUUUUUGGGACAACCCCCGCCAGGGACUCCCGCAAUCAUCCUCCUGCUACGUUCCCGACUGCUGCCAGCGGUACCGACGAUUGGCGGCUCCUGGACCGUGCUGCAACCUACAAAGCGAAAAUCAGAGUUGUGCCUGCAGCUAGCACAACAUCACAAGCUUUUCUGAAAAGAGAUAUAACUAAACAGCAGCUAAAUAAAUCCACAUACUUGACAGAAAACUUCUAAACUUUCCUAACAACUACAAUGGAGGGGAUGGUAUGGCAGGCUUCAGUAUUACCCAGCACCUUAAUCAGAAUACCUGACUUCAACUGGCUUCAACAGUACAGUCUUUAUGUAACAUGUAAUAAAGAAAUAGAUGUUCUCUGUACAGGAAAUGCAUUGUAUAUCACAAUCUUUAUAAGCUUCAGAUAUGAUAUCAGGAGCCAUUCUCUACUCGGUUAUUAAAUAUUACAGUAAAAGGUUCUCAAAAUGACAUUCCUCUCUUCAACAGCUUCUUGUAUUCUCUGCUAUCCUGCUCUGUUCUUCAGC